This 6033-nucleotide long non-coding RNA is filed under the name Homo sapiens (human). RNAcentral's name for it is "non-protein coding lnc-TOPAZ1-1:1". Lineage: Eukaryota; Metazoa; Chordata; Mammalia; Primates; Hominidae. The record is from RNAcentral.
UGUCUGGGAAAGUGAUAUUUUGGGUUACUUUAUACAGCUGACUUGAUAGCCGACUUCGUUGUGGCUGAUUGUUUGGAAACAUGGGGGUAUCUAUCAUAUUAGCUGUAACCCUGCUUCAUGCCAGGACAGUGUGGGGUACAUCACGUUUUUCCCAGUCUGCUAAGUGGGGUGCAACUCAACUUCCAUCAGGAAUUCUUCAUCUCCUGUAAAUGAAUGAAAUCAACUGGCUCUUUGCUAACAGGGUUCUAAUUUUCUUUUUUUUUAUAGUCAAAAAAAUUAAUAAUAAUGGUACCCUGGACAAACAUCUCCUUCAGUCCUUGUACAAUAUCUCAAGAUUUUAAAAACUGUUUUAUGUCAGAGUUUUCACUUUUUUAGCCUCAGGUCAAAUAUGAUAGCCAGAGGAAUCUGCUUACUACAGAUGCAAAAUAGGACAAGUGACAUUAUUAAGAUAUAAAAGACAUGACAUCAAGCCCUGAUCAUACAUACUGUUUUUCCAUAGCAAGAUUUUUUGCCAUUUUCAUCUAUUUUACUGAAAUGCUUCCAAUUUGCUUUUUAAGGUUUUUGAUUAGCAGUCACAGAGAAUGUAAAUAUGCUGAGAAAUGGGAUUAUCUGAGAACUAACCAGUUGCGGAGGUUUAACAAUAUUAUCAUAUUCAUGUUGGAGUGAUUAAGUAAAAACAAGAAGACAGAACAUUUACUAGGCAAUAUGUUGUUUUUAUUUUGUAUAUUUACUAUAAAAAUGUUUGAAAUGCCUUUAUCAUCUGCUGAAAAGUAAUCAUAGAAUUGACAUUAUUGCAGAUGGUGUGAGAGAUUUUUAAGAUUAAUGAUAGUAGAUAUGAGUUGGAAUGUAAUUGUUAAGCUUAAGGAAAAAAAUCUAGCAUGUAGAUAGAGUGUGUUUGGUGUCUUUGUGCCUGUUUUAUAGAAGGCACGUUACCUUAGCCCUCACCUACCCACUCACACCCCUCCCACAGACUCAGGCUUUCCCCAGUUCUGUUACCAGAGAGGAACACUUCUGAGCACAGAAGCUGAUGACAGCCACUUAGCAAGUUGUCUUGGGCUCUGUUGCCAAAGCACAGGGAGAGACAACCUCAGUUAAGGUGCACAAUUUAGAUUGGAGGCAUGGGAGAAACUUCUGGUCCAUUUUUCCAGCUUGCCCGAUUUACAAAGAUGACACUGAGCCCAGUUGUCUGCCUGGGGAGACAGGCCAUUAAGAGCAGGCCUGAGACUGAAACCCAAGGAUGUCUGCCUCCCAGCAUCUCAUCGGGUCAGUGGACACACAUUUAGGGUAGAGGGUCUGGGCCUGUCAGAUGUCACCACUGCCUCUUGAGGACACAACCUGAUUAAAGGCAGUCAGGUUGAAUGGCAUCCCAAGUGCAUUCCCACUGAUGGGAAAUUUAACAAGAUGGAAAAAAUUGUCUUACCCAGAACUCCUCAGUGUAUGUGGUUAGGAGGACUUCUAGGGCAAGGCAUUUGGGGUAGGAUGCAGUAAAGUUUUGAAAGCAUAUAGUCCUUUUCCCUCAAAUGGCACAAAAGGUAAUAUUUUUGAUAAAGGAAGAAGGCAAGAAAAGUUUCUGACAGGUCAAGAAAAUUAAGUAAAUAUAUAGGCCUUUGACAAAGGCUGCAAAUAGAACCACAGAGUGUAUCAUUUCUUUCUUUGAAUGAUACUUUAUUGUCAUUUUUGACAUAUGGAUGGUUUUUCUGAAAUUGAGUUGUUUUGAGACAGUAUUCUGUGAACCAUAACCUGGGGAUAGACUCUGUUUUACCUGGUACCAGCGUGACCUUCCCAUGUACCCUCUUGGUCAGCAACUUUUUACAAGGAGUUAAUCCCACUUUCUGGAACUUGCUCAUUCUCAAAGUGAGUGGUUAUUGGUCCUCAAGACAGUCCGCAGAAAUUUCAGCCCCAUGGGAAAGAAAAAAUUCCAGGUCUCUACCUGAUGCUUGGAAAGCCAGCCAUGUUAACUUAGUCAACACCAAUGCUCAUCAAAUACACACAUUUAUCUAGUGUUCCCAACCUACAUUCCCAGCCUGGGAUUCUGUGGGCCAGAGGCCCCAGUGUAGAGAUUAUAGCCUAAUGUCCCAGCAGAGAAUCACUGAUUGCAGAUAGGAAAAAUCCAGACAUUUCUGAACUCCAAGACCACAGUGAUUUAUGUGGCCUGGUGAUAAGCUAUGAUUGAUAUAUUACUCAAAGUUUCUGCUUCCCCCAACUCUGGCAAGAACUCACCCGUCACAGAGGACCCUCGGCUCCAGAACCCAGGCACGCGGCUUUCCAGUUCUGGGCUGGCUGCUGCAGCUCCCCUGCAGACACUGGCCUCCUGAGGCUGCUGUUUAUCCCCCAACACAAAUGCUCCACUUUUAAAGAAAAAGACACUCCUGGUAACAUUAGCUUCCUACAGAGAAAAUGGUGCUACCAGGUUUCCCACUGUGAAAAUGAAGUUAUGGGCCAUCAGGAGGGUUAAGCGCCACUCAACUGAACAUUUCCUCCUAGGUGCCAAAACACACAAUGGUUGCGGAGUUGGGACCUUUGUUUUGAUACUUGGUGAUGGUAGCUUUGAAUAGGGCAAAGUAGAGGGAAGGGAGGACCUAGUAAUAGGACGGUGGCCUCCUGGAGAGAGGAAGGCUCUUUGUAGCCACACAUGCAGGUAAUGCAUCCACUUCCUAGAUGGUCCCAGGGUCCCUGGAAAGCAAACACCUUUCUUGGCCAGGGAGAGUUCCACAGCUCUCCAUCAGUGCAUGUCCCAGUGACCUGAGGGCUGGACGAGAACCAAGCAUGGGAUUGUUCCUAGGGCACUGAUCUGCCAGACACUCCAUCAAAGGUAAUACUUGCCAUCACCUGUGCUGACAGAUGGGCUUCCUUUCCCCAGGUCCUUACAGCCAUGGACCCAGCAGAGCUGGAUCUCCAGUGGGGACAGCAAGCUGGGCAGGAACUAUGUUACAGGCACUCCAGGGGAUGCUUCAAAACCACUUCCACCCUUUUUGGGUCUCCCCACAACCUCUCCAGCUUCCAUUUCAGCCUUAUCUCUUCCACAUGUUAUAACCAGAAUGAUCUUUUCAAAAUGCACUCCUAAAUCACGCAAAUGCCUCCCAUUCCUGGCCUUAUAACUGCUUAAAGGGUUGUCCUCACGCUAACUUCAGUGGGACCCAUGAAUGACAUCCACUCCCUUCCCUACCCUCCUCCCUUUUUAUAAGAUCCCUCUGGCCCCUGCCCCAGGGCCUUCGUUCAGCUCCACCCUAUCUAGAAGGCUCCCAGCUUCACCCCACCCCUGCCCAGAACUCUUUCCUCAAGGCUAGCCUAGGGGAGCACAACCUUGGGCUGCUUCCCCUGCAUGCUUAGAUCCAGCCAGAGCCCCCCUGCUGGGCCACAGACCUCCAUCCCCAUAGCGGCUUCUUUUCCAAAGUGCAUUCACCUCAUUGAGAACAGCCUCUCCCCUCCUGAACAUUCCAGACAUUCCACUCAGGCUGACUUAAUGCCACCUGGCCAGAAAAAAACAGUGUCCAUUCCCCCUUUUCUAAAACCUUGAUUUUGUGAUCGUUUGAACCUUUGAGUUUAGAAUCACUGUAUUAUAACUUCCUUGGGAUCCUACCUUUGCAGCUAGCCACAUUCCAAAUUAUAAGACUCUCUCUGGAAGCCCGUUGUAGACAACCAAAAGCCCUGAUGAUGUAAGGGAGCUCGCCAGACACACACUUUCAUACUCACCACCUUGUCUUAAGCUGCUUACCAUCUGCUGGCCCCAGUCAGCUCUUCUGGGAAAAGCUGCGUUUGGAAAAGGAGUUCCCCGAAUGUAUUUAAUAUCAAAUGGAGCAAUGGUUCUCAAAGUGUGCUCCCUGGAGCAGCAGCAGCACCAGCAUCUCCUGGGAACGCUUUAGACAUGCACAUCCUCCAGCCCCACCCACCCCUGCUGAGUUAGAAGCUCUGCGGUGAGGCCAGUGCACUCAAGUUUGGGAACUACCAAUAUAGAGUAAAAGAUGGGGGAGAAAACCCCUUGAGUAUCAAAUUUAGAAGGCCACAAUAGUGAAGCGUCUGUGCCUACUGUUUGCAGAAUGUGGAAGGUUUAGGGUGUUUACUACUGUAUGUUGAAUAAUGAUUCUCUUAAAACUUUUGUGAAUUGUAAAAGUAAAUCCCUAGGAAUGCUGGGCAGUGAUAACCUGACUCUCCCAUUUUCACCUGCAUACACAUACCCAGAACAUCCUUUUCUCCUUCACAACAGGGAAGUUGGAAGGUAAAAGUUAUUUUCUACCAAUAUAAAGUCUUAGAUUUUUAUUUACUAAAUUCUUAACACAGUACAUGGCACAGUUACCUUUUAAAGGCUUUCCAUUUCUUUAAUCUGAGCCCACAGCAACCCCAUUUUAAGGAGAGGAACUAGAGCCAGAGAGAUUUAGGAGCCAGCCUGUACCUCAGGAAUGAGAGACAUUACUUGCGGGAGCAGAGAUUUGAGCUCGGCAAUACUCCCAGACCCACACUUGCCCUUGCUUUUGAUUUUCUACCUCCCUAAUGAACAAGUGGGGAUCAUGAAAGUCAGCUGUGCCCAGCUUACUUAGAGCACCUGUUUCUGUCUGAGCAAUGAAAAGCCAUUUGAUUGGCGGUCAACUUGGAGAAACCUUGACCCUAAAAGAUAAUGCCAUAAAGACCAAACACACUGGGCGAUCAUAUCAUUUCAACUUGACAAAAUUUGUCGUACUCUUUUCUCGAGGUGGACUUCUUUUUUUGCUAGUGGCAGGGGUAGAUAUCCUUGUUUUGCUGGUAAUUAUCACCAUUUACCUUAGACUUCAUAGGUGGUUUUUUAUGUAUUCCUCAUGAAAGCCAUAGCCAAAGACCUUUUCAACCCCAAGCAUCUGUCUCUUGGUAGGUACUGGCUUCAGGCAAGUGGCUUCUCUCAUUAAGAAAAUACAGUAAUUUGAGUGUCAUUGCUACAUGUCUUCUUAAAACUCAGAAGAAACCUCACAGACCAAUGAGAGAGUUUGAAAUCGCUAUUUUAAGAGGCAUAGCAUAAAAGAAUUUUGAUAGAAAAGUAGAGCAAAAUAAGCAGUAAAACCUCAUCCCUAACAUUCUCCAGCUGCCUGACAUCCUGGUUCAGUUCCAGAGACUUGGACCACUGCUCCCUAGUUCCAGGGGGUGGCACAGGAGCCAAAAACGAGACCUGAGGCUGAAGCCCAACAGAAGAUGAAACUUGGGAGCAGCCUCAGCUUCGGGAAUCCUCACUUCCUGGCACAGCAGGUUUGGGUGCCACAGAGCCCAGGGCUAGACACCUGCCAGCAGUCCAUCAGUCACAGUCUCAGAUGAGUGGCAUCAAGGUGGAGCCCACUGAGGUGAAGGAAGGAGCUGUGAGGGACACCUGCAUCCUGCUGCAGAAAUGUCUGCCCCCCGCCUUGUCCCACCGCAGCUCUAUCUCACAGUUGGAGAAGCAGAAGCAAAGCAACCUGUCCUGGACCAUGCAGCCUGGUCCUCUGUUUCCAGAGCCAGAGGUCUUUGUGCUCUGAAACAAAGACAGUGACCCCAUUAACCCACUGGCACUUACUGUGUGCCAGGCACUCAGCCUGUGUUGUCUCAUUGCAGCACAGAGCAGCCCUGGGAAUGGAAGCAGUGUCAUCAUUCCCAUUUUUCAGGUGAGGCACAGGCUCAGAAAGGUCAAGAAACUUGCUCACGGUCUCACAGCUGGUGAGUAGGUUGUCAGACUCCAAAGAUGUGUGCUGCUAACCCUGCCCAAAGGGACUUCAUCCUCCUCCCUCCUUCCCAGGCAGUUCUCCCAACCACCCACCAACAGGCAACGUAGGUGUGAUUGCCUUCAAAGUUUUCUACUUGCCUUCAAGCUUGAAGCACUGGAGACUGAGGGAAGAGAGCACUGGAAGUGGAGGAAGAAAAAAGAGCUGUUCCCUCCAAGGUUGUUCCCUUGGGCCUGACUCGACUGGAAGAAGCAGGGUGUAUAUGUGUGUGUGUGUGUAAUUGACUUUGUGACCAUGAAACUGAGUUAAUACUCUUCUGUCUUUGCCUGUUUCUUCUUGUACAUCACCUAGAGGAAUACCCAUUAAUGUUUAGAGG